GAUGAACGCUGGCGGCGUGCCUAAUACAUGCAAGUCGAGCGAACGGACGAGAAGCUUGCUUCUCUGAUGUUAGCGGCGGACGGGUAAGUAACACGUGGAUAACCUACCUAUAAGACUGGGAUAACUUCGGGAAACCGGAGCUAAUACCGGAUAAUAUUUUGAACCGCAUGGUUCAAAAGUGAAAGACGGUCUUGCUGUCACUUAUAGAUGGAUCCGCGCUGCAUUAGCUAGUUGGUAAGGUAACGGCUUACCAAGGCAACGAUGCAUAGCCGACCUGAGAGGGUGAUCGGCCACACUGGAACUGAGACACGGUCCAGACUCCUACGGGAGGCAGCAGUAGGGAAUCUUCCGCAAUGGGCGAAAGCCUGACGGAGCAACGCCGCGUGAGUGAUGAAGGUCUUCGGAUCGUAAAACUCUGUUAUUAGGGAAGAACAUAUGUGUAAGUAACUGUGCACAUCUUGACGGUACCUAAUCAGAAAGCCACGGCUAACUACGUGCCAGCAGCCGCGGUAAUACGUAGGUGGCAAGCGUUAUCCGGAAUUAUUGGGCGUAAAGCGCGCGUAGGCGGUUUUUUAAGUCUGAUGUGAAAGCCCACGGCUCAACCGUGGAGGGUCAUUGGAAACUGGAAAACUUGAGUGCAGAAGAGGAAAGUGGAAUUCCAUGUGUAGCGGUGAAAUGCGCAGAGAUAUGGAGGAACACCAGUGGCGAAGGCGACUUUCUGGUCUGUAACUGACGCUGAUGUGCGAAAGCGUGGGGAUCAAACAGGAUUAGAUACCCUGGUAGUCCACGCCGUAAACGAUGAGUGCUAAGUGUUAGGGGGUUUCCGCCCCUUAGUGCUGCAGCUAACGCAUUAAGCACUCCGCCUGGGGAGUACGACCGCAAGGUUGAAACUCAAAGGAAUUGACGGGGACCCGCACAAGCGGUGGAGCAUGUGGUUUAAUUCGAAGCAACGCGAAGAACCUUACCAAAUCUUGACAUCCUUUGACAACUCUAGAGAUAGAGCUUUCCCCUUCGGGGGACAAAGUGACAGGUGGUGCAUGGUUGUCGUCAGCUCGUGUCGUGAGAUGUUGGGUUAAGUCCCGCAACGAGCGCAACCCUUAAGCUUAGUUGCCAUCAUUAAGUUGGGCACUCUAAGUUGACUGCCGGUGACAAACCGGAGGAAGGUGGGGAUGACGUCAAAUCAUCAUGCCCCUUAUGAUUUGGGCUACACACGUGCUACAAUGGACAAUACAAAGGGCAGCGAAACCGCGAGGUCAAGCAAAUCCCAUAAAGUUGUUCUCAGUUCGGAUUGUAGUCUGCAACUCGACUACAUGAAGCUGGAAUCGCUAGUAAUCGUAGAUCAGCAUGCUACGGUGAAUACGUUCCCGGGUCU
RNAcentral lists this ribosomal RNA (1372 nucleotides) under uncultured bacterium. RNAcentral's name for it is "bacterial SSU rRNA". It matches the Rfam family "Bacterial small subunit ribosomal RNA", at positions 28 to 1381 of the family's 1533-position model. The record is from RNAcentral.